UACAGAGGGUGCAAGCGUUAAUCGGAAUUACUGGGCGUAAAGCGCACGUAGGCGGUUUUUUAAGUCAGAUGUGAAAGCCCCGGGCUCAACCUGGGAAUUGCAUUUGAAACUGGGAAACUAGAGUGUGUGAGAGGGGGGUAGAAUUCCAAGUGUAGCGGUGAAAUGCGUAGAGAUUUGGAGGAAUACCAGUGGCGAAGGCGGCCCCCUGGCACGAUACUGACGCUCAGGUGCGAAAGCGUGGGGAGCAAACCGG
RNAcentral lists this ribosomal RNA (253 nucleotides) under uncultured bacterium. RNAcentral's name for it is "partial 16S ribosomal RNA". It matches the Rfam family "Bacterial small subunit ribosomal RNA", at positions 524 to 776 of the family's 1533-position model. The record is from RNAcentral.